AUGGGAGGAGGCCAAAAGGGUCUGGAGACUGCGAUCGUGUGCCUACUCGUGCUGGGGCUGGUCCUGGAGCAGGUGCAAGUAGAGGGCGUGGAUUGCGGCGCAAACCCCUUCAAAGUGGCCUGCUUCAAUUCUUGCCUUCUCGGUCCUAGUACAGUGUUCCAGUGCGCAGAUUCUGUGCUUGUCGAGUCCCCGCUAACUUGGCCUCUGCACGCAGCUCCGAUUUGA
This 225-nucleotide ribosomal RNA is filed under the name Triticum aestivum (bread wheat). RNAcentral describes it as "partial small subunit ribosomal RNA". The record is from RNAcentral. Lineage: Eukaryota; Viridiplantae; Streptophyta; Magnoliopsida; Poales; Poaceae.